UGAUUCCCCCAGUAACGGCGAGUGAACAGGGAAAAGCUCAAAGUUGGAAGCUCCUGGCCCUAGGCUAGGCGCAUUGUAAACUAAAGCUGUAAAGUAGUUCGGUUGGCCUGGUAAAAAAGUUCCCUGGAAUGGGGCGACAUGGAGGGUGAAAUCCCCGUCUUUGGCCAGAGUUCAGCCGUGCGUUUGCUUUGCUGCGAAGAGUCAGGUUGUUUGGGAAUGCAGCCUAAAAUGGGAGGUAGACUUCUCCUAAAGCUAAAUAUUGACGAAAGACCGAUAGCGAACAAGUACCGUGAGGGAAAGAUGAAAAGCACUUUGAAAAGAGGGUCAAAAAGUACGUGAAAUUGCUGAAAGGGAACCGUAUGAAAUCAGCCUGAUGUGUGGGUAAUCAGCCUGGGCUUUGGCCUGGGUGCACUUGCCCAUGUAUUAGCCUGCGACAGUUUGACCUGGGGGAAAAAAGAUGGGGGAAUGUGGCCUCGGCUUCGGUCGAGGUGUUAUAGCCCCUGUCAAAAUACCUUGGGUUGGACUGAGGACUGCAGCGAGCCGUAAGGCAUGGGUCUCGGGCGCUCUGUCUCGGCGAAAAGUGAAUCUCUGCUUCGGGUGGUGCGCUUUUCUUCAGGGCAGACUCGCCUGUUUCUUCUUUCUCUCGCUUAGGUCGUAGGCAUAAUGAUUUUAUAUGACCCGUCUUGAAACACGGACCAAGGAGUCCACCAUAGUUGCGAGUCUUUGAGUGUAAAAACCCAUGGGCGUAAGGAAACUGACCAAGAUAUGAAGGCCUUUGGCUGGCAAUAUCCUCCGGCGAGGACGUUUUAUACUGAAUUGACCGAGAGAAAGCACCUAUGAUGGGACCCGAAAGAUGGUGAACUAUACUUGAAUAGGGUGAAGCCAGAGGAAACUCUGGUGGAAGCUCGUAGCGAUUCUGACGUGCAAAUCGAUCGUCAAAUUUGAGUAUAGGGG
RNAcentral lists this ribosomal RNA (954 nucleotides) under Absidia glauca. Its description in RNAcentral is "partial large subunit ribosomal RNA". It matches the Rfam family "Eukaryotic large subunit ribosomal RNA", at positions 72 to 923 of the family's 3401-position model. The record is from RNAcentral. Lineage: Eukaryota; Fungi; Mucoromycota; Mucoromycetes; Mucorales; Cunninghamellaceae.